UGCUCAUAUACUACAAUUGUCAUCCAUAGGGUUUAAUUUGUGUGUCAAGUUAAUUUUCACAUCAGUAAGCAAAACCAUCUGUCCAUCACCCAUAUUAACAGUUGAAGAUCAAGAAAUGCUUUGAUAUGCAAGCAAGAGAAAACUGACACCAGGGAUUAGUAAGAGUUAGGAAUUUGACCAAGCCUGAAACUGAUAUUUUAACUCGGGUAGCUCGUCCGGAUUCGAUUUGGGUGAUUCUAGCUUGCACGGUAGUGUCUCUCUCUCGUCUCAGGUCUUCACCUACAAGUUCAGCUUCCGAACCUCCGCCGACCGCACUCAGAGAUCCAGAUCUUUACAGUUGGAACAAGGCAGCUUCAGGGAAAUGUCGCGGAGAAGAGGUUUGGUGCCGGAGAGACUGUACAGGUCCAUGAGAGGAGGUAGCCGAGACCUAGUGUACUGAGGAAAUGCUCUCAAAUGCUCUCACCUUCAGGAAAAGCCGAUACUCCAAGAUCUCCUCCAUUCAUCAUGAGAGACAUCAACUCCUUCUGAAGCUUUUGAGAAAUGGAGGUUGUGUCGAUGGGGAUGGAAGAACCAAGAGGCUUUUGAUCAAUCCACCACCUUAACACAACAACGGGUGCACACACCCACCACAAUCCCCCACACCAUCGACUAAUUUCUCAAUCCACCCAAGAACCAGUUUUUUUAGAACAAAUCUCAGAAACAGAAACCUACCCAAUUCAGAAAAUUGAAUGAUUUACAAACCCAACAAAACCCAACAGGGAAAAAACCUUAUUUUUUGGAUUUUGAUAUUUUUUUUCUGUGUUUUUUAAGAAGCAGCUGGGAGAUGACUAGCUUGCUAGCUUUGACUUGUAGCUGGAAAAGCACCAAACUUUAAACGUGGAAACUGGACAAGAUGGAGAGAGAGAGAGUCUCUGACGGUGUGGACGCCCAAGAACAGGAGAGAGAUGAAGGACCAGAGAGAGAUCUGAGGAGUGUUUGAGAUUUUGAUAUUUUUCUGUUUCUGGGUUUUUGUGAUUUUGCAGAUUCAUGGUGGAGGUAAACAAAUGAAAGAAAACUGACAUAGUUUUUCGUGUCGAUUCCUACAGACGGUGCCAAAUGUUGAUGCACAAAACCGGAGGGGUCUUGGAACAACGUAAAUUCGACCGUGAAUCUA
RNAcentral lists this long non-coding RNA (1153 nucleotides) under Malus domestica (apple). RNAcentral describes it as "long non-coding RNA (MDOM_LNC010213)". Lineage: Eukaryota; Viridiplantae; Streptophyta; Magnoliopsida; Rosales; Rosaceae. The record is from RNAcentral.